UGCCUAAUACAUGCAAGUCGAACGGUAACAGAUCACGUAGCAAUACGUGGUGCUGACGAGUGGCGGACGGGUGAGUAACGCAUAGGAAUCUGCCCAGUAGCGGGGGACAACUUAGGGAAACUUAAGCUAAUACCGCAUACGCCCUACGGGGGAAAGCAGGGGAUCUUCGGACCUUGCACUAUUGGAUGAGCCUAUGUCUGAUUAGCUAGUUGGUGGGGUAAAGGCCUACCAAGGCGACGAUCAGUAGCUGGUCUGAGAGGACGACCAGCCACACUGGGACUGAGACACGGCCCAGACUCCUACGGGAGGCAGCAGUGGGGAAUAUUGGACAAUGGGGGCAACCCUGAUCCAGCAAUGCCGCGUGUGUGAAGAAGGCCUGCGGGUUGUAAAGCACUUUCAGUAGGGAAGAAAAGCCGAGUGCUAAUAUCACUCGGUCUUGACGUUACUUACAGAAGAAGCACCGGCUAACUCCGUGCCAGCAGCCGCGGUAAUACGGAGGGUGCGAGCGUUAAUCGGAAUUACUGGGCGUAAAGGGCGCGUAGGCGGUUUGGUAAGUCGGGUGUGAAAGCCCCGGGCUCAACCUGGGAAUUGCAUUCGAUACUGCCUGGCUAGAGUAUGGUAGAGGGAAGCGGAAUUCCGGGUGUAGCGGUGAAAUGCGUAGAUAUCCGGAGGAACACCAGUGGCGAAGGCGGCUUCCUGGACCAAUACUGACGCUGAGGCGCGAAAGCGUGGGGAUCAAACAGGAUUAGAUACCCUGGUAGUCCACGCCGUAAACGUUGGGCGCUAGGUGUGGGAUCCCUUCCACGGGUUCCGUGCCGCAGCUAACGCAUUAAGCGCCCCGCCUGGGGAGUACGGCCGCAAGGCUAAAACUCAAAGGAAUUGACGGGGGCCCGCACAAGCGGCGGAGCAUGUGGAUUAAUUCGAUGCAACGCGAAGAACCUUACCUGGGUUUGACAUACACCGGAAAGCCGUGGAGACAUGGCCUCCGCAAGGCCGGUGUACAGGUGGUGCAUGGCUGUCGUCAGCUCGUGUCGUGAGAUGUUGGGUUAAGUCCCGCAACGAGCGCAACCCUCGUCCCAUGUUGCCAGCGGGUUAUGCCGGGGACUCAUGGGAGACUGCCGGGGUCAACUCGGAGGAAGGUGGGGACGACGUCAAGUCAUCAUGCCCCUUAUGUCCAGGGCUUCACACAUGCUACAAUGGCCGGUACAAAGGGCUGCUAAGCCGUAAGGUGGAGCGAAUCCCACAAAGCCGGUCUCAGUUCGGAUCGGGGUCUGCAACUCGACCCCGCGAAGUCGGAGUCGCUAGUAAUCGCAGAUCAGCAACGCUGCGGUGAAUACGUUCCCGGGCCUUGCACACACCGCCCGUCAC
Molecule: ribosomal RNA, 1368 nt
Filed under: uncultured bacterium
Lineage: Bacteria
Description: partial 16S ribosomal RNA
Rfam family: Bacterial small subunit ribosomal RNA
Source: RNAcentral